RNAcentral lists this ribosomal RNA (496 nucleotides) under uncultured bacterium. RNAcentral describes it as "partial 16S ribosomal RNA". It matches the Rfam family "Bacterial small subunit ribosomal RNA", at positions 28 to 506 of the family's 1533-position model. The record is from RNAcentral.
GAUGAACGCUGGCGGCGUGCCUAAUACAUGCAAGUCGAGCGAACAGAUAAGGAGCUUGCUCCUUUGACGUUAGCGGCGGACGGGUGAGUAACACGUGGAUAACCUACCUAUAAGACUGGGAUAACUUCGGGAAACCGGAGCUAAUACCGGAUAACAUAUUGAACCGCAUGGUUCAAUAGUGAAAGGCGGCUUUGCUGUCACUUAUAGAUGGAUCCGCGCCGUAUUAGCUAGUUGGUAAGGUAACGGCUUACCAAGGCAACGAUACGUAGCCGACCUGAGAGGGUGAUCGCCCACACAGGAGCUGAGACGCGGCCCAGACUCCUACGGGAGGCAGAAGUAGCGAAGCUUGCGAAAUGGGCGAAAGCCUGACGGAUCGACGCCGCCUGAGUGAUGAAGGUCUUCGGACCGGAAAACUGUGUUAUCAGGGAAGAACAAAUUUGUAAGUAACGGAGCACAUCUGGAGGGUACCUGUUCAGAAAGCCCGGGUUAAUUACGG